CCUACGGGUGGCUGCAGUGGGGAAUAUUGGACAAUGGGGGCAACCCUGAUCCAGCCAUGCCGCGUGUGUGAAGAAUGCCCUCGGGUUGUAAAGCACUUUCAGUGAGGAAGAACGCCUGGUGGUUAAUACCCAUCAGGAAAGACAUCACUCACAGAAGAAGCACCGGCUAACUCCGUGCCAGCAGCCGCGGUAAUACGGAGGGUGCGAGCGUUAAUCGGAAUUACUGGGCGUAAAGCGCGCGUAGGUGGCUUGAUAAGCCGGUUGUGAAAGCCCCGGGCUCAACCUGGGAACGGCAUCCGGAACUGUCAAGCUAGAGUGCAGGAGAGGAAGGUAGAAUUCCCGGUGUAGCGGUGAAAUGCGUAGAGAUCGGGAGGAAUACCAGUGGCGAAGGCGGCCUUCUGGACUGACACUGACACUGAGGUGCGAAAGCGUGGGUAGCAAACAGGAUUAGAUACCCGAGUAGUC
RNAcentral lists this ribosomal RNA (465 nucleotides) under Vreelandella stevensii. Its description in RNAcentral is "partial 16S ribosomal RNA". It matches the Rfam family "Bacterial small subunit ribosomal RNA", at positions 338 to 795 of the family's 1533-position model. The record is from RNAcentral. Lineage: Bacteria; Pseudomonadati; Pseudomonadota; Gammaproteobacteria; Oceanospirillales; Halomonadaceae.